RNAcentral lists this ribosomal RNA (514 nucleotides) under uncultured bacterium. Its description in RNAcentral is "bacterial SSU rRNA". It matches the Rfam family "Bacterial small subunit ribosomal RNA", at positions 17 to 518 of the family's 1533-position model. The record is from RNAcentral.
UUAUGGCUCAGGAUGAACGCUGGCGGCAGGCUUAAUACAUGCAAGUCGAACGGUAAGGCCGAGUGCAGCAAUGCAUGAGGUACACGAGUGGCGCACGGGUGCGUAACGCGUAUGCAACCUGCCCCCCAACCGGGACAAAAACAGCUGGAAACGGCUGCUAAUAUCCCAUAGCCACGCGGGAGGGCAUCCUCCUGUGUGUAAAGAUUCAUUGGUUGGGGAUGGGCAUGCGUAUUAUUAGGUAGUUGGCGGGGUAACGGCCCACCAAGCCGACGAUGAUUAGGGGUCCUGAGAGGGUUAACCCCCACACUGGAACUGAGACACGGUCCAGACUCCUACGGGAGGCAGCAGUAGGGAAUAUUGGGCAAUGGGAGCAAUCCUGACCCAGCCAUGCCCGCGUGAAGGAAGACGGCCCUAUGGGUUGUAAACUUCUUUGCCGCAGAGUAAACCCGGGGACGUGUCCCCGGUUGAGAGUAUGCGGCGAAUAAGUAUCGGCUAACUCCGUGCCAGCAGCCGC